GUGUCAGCAGCCGCGGUAAUACGAAGGGUGCAAGCGUUACUCGGAAUUACUGGGCGUAAAGCGUGCGUAGGUGGUUCGUUAAGUCUGAUGUGAAAGCCCUGGGCUCAACCUGGGAAUGGCAUUGGAUACUGGCGACCUAGAGUGCGGUAGAGGGGUGUGGAAUUCCCGGUGUAGCAGUGAAAUGCGUAGAUAUCGGGAGGAACAUCUGUGGCGAAGGCGACACCCUGGACCAGCACUGACACUGAGGCACGAAAGCGUGGGGAGCAAACAGGAUUAGAUACCCCCGUAGUCC
RNAcentral lists this ribosomal RNA (292 nucleotides) under uncultured bacterium. RNAcentral's name for it is "partial 16S ribosomal RNA". It matches the Rfam family "Bacterial small subunit ribosomal RNA", at positions 505 to 796 of the family's 1533-position model. The record is from RNAcentral.